Long non-coding RNA from Bos taurus (domestic cattle), 920 nucleotides. The record is from Ensembl. Lineage: Eukaryota; Metazoa; Chordata; Mammalia; Artiodactyla; Bovidae.
UAUGGUAGUGAUAAACUUAAGAAACUUCAGCUGUGGCCUUGACACAAGAUACACUUAAUGGAUUGAUGUUCCUCCAUCCAAAUAUUGAUUGAAAAAGCUCACAGUAAUUAUGACAAGACUAAAUAACACAUUUACCUGUCCAUGGGCCAAGCUUCCAAAAGACCAGAGGACACAGUCAACAACUCAGAGUAAUAGCCACUACAAGAAUGAGACAAUGAAAAAGCUACUAGUUUUGUAAGAGGGAAGUGACUGCAGAAGCCUCACCUAGGGCACUUCAGACCAGAGUUCCUCAUCAGAGAGCUCUGAGCCCAACUUCUCAGCUGGGAGCCAUGUGCAGAAGUGCUGCACACGACACCAUGAAGACCACAGCUGCAAGCAGUGUGCAGAGAGGCUGUGCGGGACACCUCAGCCCCGAGCUGGUGGGCCACAUGCAGGAGCGCUGAGCACAGCACUGGGGUUCCAGAUGGUGGCCGUAUGCGCUGACGCUGCGCCCAGCACUGCAACCAGAGCCCUGAGCAGCACACCUACACUCACCCUCUCAGCCUCUAUAAAGCAACCCCAUCCCACCACUGGUCGGGGAGAGCCUGUGAUCUACAGCAGGAGCCUCCACCUCUCCAUUCUCUGAUCAAGGCUUUCCUUUGCCUCAGAACCAAACUCAGGCUUGUUCUACUGGCAUGAGCAACACCAGGCAGGAGGAUACUUGUUGGCAUGGGACUCAAGAAUGUCAGUAACUCCUUAGCCGAUGGCAAAGCAUUGAACUAACAAUACGUUCAGGCUCUCCCCUGUUUCACUGAAACCACUUUUGGAAUGAAAUACUCCACUAGAUGAUAAAUACUCCACUAGAUGAUAUCCUUGGGCCUGAUACUGUCACUGCUUAAACUGGCUGAAGAGAUCCUAGGAAGCCAAUAUUAUUAUUACUA